RNAcentral lists this ribosomal RNA (1351 nucleotides) under human metagenome. RNAcentral's name for it is "bacterial LSU rRNA". It matches the Rfam family "Bacterial large subunit ribosomal RNA", at positions 741 to 2106 of the family's 2925-position model. The record is from RNAcentral.
CAGGUUGAAGGUGCGGUAAAACGCACUGGAGGACCGAACCAGGGCACGUUGAAAAGUGCUUGGAUGACUUGUGGGUAGCGGAGAAAUUCCAAUCGAACUUGGAGAUAGCUGGUUCUCUCCGAAAUAGCUUUAGGGCUAGCCUCGGAAUCAAGAAUCGUGGAGGUAGAGCACUGUUUGGACUAGGGGCCCAUCUCGGGUUACCGAAUUCAGAUAAACUCCGAAUGCCAUGUAUUUAUAUCCGGGAGUCAGACUGCGAGUGAUAAGAUCCGUAGUCGAAAGGGAAACAGCCCAGACCACCAGCUAAGGUCCCAAAAUAAUUGUUAAGUGGAAAAGGAUGUGGGGUUGCACAGACAACUAGGAUGUUAGCUUAGAAGCAGCUAUUCAUUCAAAGAGUGCGUAAUAGCUCACUAGUCGAGUGACCCUGCGCCGAAAAUGUACCGGGGCUAAAACAAUUUACCGAAGCUGUGGAUACCUUUAUAGGUAUGGUAGGAGAGCGUUCUAUGUGUGAAGAAGGUGUACCGUGAGGAGCGCUGGAACGCAUAGAAGUGAGAAUGCCGGUAUGAGUAGCGAAAGACAGGUGAGAAUCCUGUCCACCGUAAGACUAAGGUUUCCAGGGGAAGGCUCGUCCGCCCUGGGUUAGUCGGGACCUAAGGAGAGACCGAAAGGUGUAUCCGAUGGACAACAGGUUGAUAUUCCUGUACUAGAGUAUAUAGUGAUGGAGGGACGCAGUAGGCUAACUAAACCAGACGAUUGGAAGUGUCUGGCCAAGCAGUGAGGUGUGAUAUGAGUCAAAUGCUUAUAUCUAUAACAUUGAGCUGUGAUGGGGAGCGAAGUUUAGUAGCGAAGUUAGUGAUGUCACACUGCCAAGAAAAGCUUCUAGCGUUAAACAUACUCUACCCGUACCGCAAACCGACACAGGUAGUCGAGGCGAGUAGCCUCAGGUGAGCGAGAGAACUCUCGUUAAGGAACUCGGCAAAAUGACCCCGUAACUUCGGGAGAAGGGGUGCUGGCUUUGAGUCAGCCGCAGUGAAUAGGCCCAAGCAACUGUUUAUCAAAAACACAGCUCUCUGCUAAAUCGUAAGAUGAUGUAUAGGGGGUGACGCCUGCCCGGUGCUGGAAGGUUAAGAGGAGUGCUUAGCAAUAGCGAAGGUAUGAAUUGAAGCCCCAGUAAACGGCGGCCGUAACUAUAACGGUCCUAAGGUAGCGAAAUUCCUUGUCGGGUAAGUUCCGACCCGCACGAAAGGCGUAAUGAUUUGGGCACUGUCUCAACGAGAGACUCGGUGAAAUUUUAGUACCUGUGAAGAUGCAGGUUACCCGCGACAGGACGGAAAGACCCCAUGGAGCUUUACUG